This 1415-nucleotide ribosomal RNA is filed under the name metagenome. RNAcentral's name for it is "bacterial SSU rRNA". It matches the Rfam family "Archaeal small subunit ribosomal RNA". The record is from RNAcentral.
UCCCGUUGAUCCUGCGGGAGGCUACUGCUAGUGGGAUUCGACUUAGACAUGUAAGUUUAAAGUUUUCGGACUUGGCGAAAGGCUCAGUAACACGUCAAUAAUCUGCCCUUAGGUGGGGGAUAACUUCGGGAAACUGAAGAUAAUACCCUAUAGGUAAGGGAGGCUGGAAGGCACCUUUAUUCAAAGCUCCGGCGCCUAAGGAUGAGUUGGCGGCAGAUUAGGCUGUUGGUGGUGUAAAGGACCACCAAACCUGAGAUCUGUAAGGGGGAUGAGAGUCCUAGCCCUGAGAAGGACACUGAGAAAAGGGUCCUAGCCCUACGGGGUGCAGCAGUCACGAAACCUCUACAAUGCGCGAAAGUGUGAUAGGGGGAUCCCACGUGCUGGCGCACUGCGUCAGCUUUUCUAGAGUGUAAGUAGCUCUGGGAAUAAGUGGUGGGCAAGACCGGUGCCAGCCGCCGCGGUAACACCGGCGCCACGAGUGGUAGCCGCGUUUAUUGGGCCUAAAGCAUCCGUAGCCGGUUAGUUAAGUUUCCUGUGAAAUUUAGUGGUUUAACCAUUAAGCGGGCUGGAAAUACUGGCUAACUUGGGACCGGGAGAAGUAAAGGGUAUUCCUUGGGGAGCGGUAAAAUGUUGUAAUCCUUGGAGGACCAUCGAUGGCGAAGGCACUUUACUAGAACGGGUCCGACGGUGAGGGAUGAAAGCUAGGGUAGCGAGCCGGAUUAGAUACCCGGGUAGUCCUAGCCGUAAACGCUGCCUGUUAGGUGCUGCAUUUCUUUCGAAGGUAUGCAGUGCCGUAGUGAAGAUGUUAAACAGGCCGCCUGGGAAGUACGGUCGCAAGGCUGAAACUUAAAGGAAUUGGCGGGGGGUCACCACAAGGGGUGAAUGUUGCGGUUCAAUUGGAUUCUACGCCCGGAACCUUACCAGAGGCGACAGCAAGAUGAAGGUCAGUCUGAAUGGCUUACUCGAUGCGCUGAGAGGUGGUGCAUGGCCGCCGUCAGCUCGUGGCGUGAGGUGUUCGGUUAAGUCCGAGAACGAGCGAGACCUAUGUCUCCAGUUGCUACUGCUUUUUUCGGAAGGCAGGCACACUGGUGAGACUGCAUGCGUUAAGUAUGAGGAAGGUGUAGGCCACGGUAGGUCUGUAUGCCCCGAAUCCUCUGGGCUACACGCGACAUGCAUUGGUUAAAACAACGGGCUGCAACUCCGAAAGGAGAAGCUAAUCCCUUAACUUUAACCCUGUUCGAAUUGAGGGCUGCAACCCGCCCUCAUGAAGGCGAAAUCCCUAGCAAUCGUAUGUUAGCAACGUGCGGUGAAUACGUCCCUGACCCUUGCACACACUGCCCGUCACACCACUCGAGUUGGGUUUGGAUGAGGUGGAGUCAUUUGUCCUCAUCGAAUCUAGAUUCAGCGAGAUGGAU